This 1121-nucleotide long non-coding RNA is filed under the name Zea mays. RNAcentral's name for it is "long non-coding RNA (ZMAY_LNC004388)". Lineage: Eukaryota; Viridiplantae; Streptophyta; Magnoliopsida; Poales; Poaceae. The record is from RNAcentral.
CGGGGCUUGCCUGGGAUAAACACUAGGUUAGUGUUGUUAGACGAUGUCUGCUUGACGACCAUCUUUUAUCUUGACAUUCGUCAAAUUAUCCAUCUUCAGGUUCGUCCGACUGACGACGUCGUCUUGCGGAGAUGUUCACUCUCUGCAUUAUCCUGGGGUCGUCUUCCGCAUCACGUGAUCAACAAACGUACCUAAAUGAUUUGCAUAAUGCACAUGAAUGCAUAUAAACAAGAAUAGUAUGAGACUAAAUAUUACUACAUGUUCGCGAAUUAAACACCUAGCAGCAAGGCGUUGUACUAUUUCAUACGGAAACACUAGUUAUCGACAUACGACUAAGCGCAAUAAUCACAAAAUAAUAAAAUAUACAUACUAACACUCACGUCCUUCCUACUUAACCGAAUUUAACUCAUACAUCAGGCAACAACACCCUAAGUAUAAGUUCCAUACUUUAGCCUAUACCAAACAAUUAACAAAAAUUAGGCUCACGUUUCCAAGAUAAUUAAAUUCAAGACUACAGAUAGAAAUCAUUUAUAGCUUUCUAACCCACUACGCUAAUUAGUUCAUACAGUACACUAGACAAACAACAAUAUCACAUAUGACUAGACUGACCACAUCAGAUACGAAGAACCAAUUUAAUUAUACGUUGCACAACUAAUAUGUUUAACUAAAUUCAUCCGACCAAAAGCAGAAGUAACAAAUUGGCUACUAUUACCUAAAUCUGACUUGAAACCGCGAGAUUGACAAUGAUGCCCAGUUCGAGCCUUUCAUUGCGCCACAGGUGGACAACGAAUAGGGACCUUCACGCAAACACACACACAUACAUAAAUCCACAGCUAGCCACAUCGGCGUCUGAUAAGAAAUUAAACAGAGCGAGGACUGCAAGUAUCACCAGUGGGGACGCAAGACGCGACAAGGCCGUUGGAAUAAUGACAGUUCCGAGGGUCAGGCGUUUCAUCGAACAUCUGGCGGCUGAAGCGAGGACGACAUCGAAUCCCAAGAGACGGACAGUGCGUCGACGGCCGAGUCUCACAUUUAGCCGGACAAGUGGCACACGAGGCGCGACGGGAAGGAGUUUGACGCGUCAAGUCUAAAGAAAGCGCGACAUCAACGAUGCUGCAAGC